GACAUAGUGGCAUUCGAAAUUGACGGUUCUCACGAAACGGCGAUAGAACCGGGAAUUCGCAUGCUCAACUUCUCGGAGGCAUCACAUAGUGACUGGGAACCAGCGAAAUUCACAUCCGAAUUUUUUGUAUAUGGAUACCCGCGUGAAGGCAACUUCGUUGAGUACGAGACUCAUCAAGUUUUAGCGCUGAAAGCAAUGAUGGUUGGGCGUUAUAAAUGCGCGGGAUUCGAACCUAGCUUUCAUGAACUUUCAAUAGCCAAUCACCUUAACUUGCAGACGUUUAGCGGAAUGAGUGGAGCUCCGGUGUUCUGCGCCUGGAGAAGGUUUGGAAUGCCUAC
This 338-nucleotide unclassified non-coding RNA is filed under the name uncultured fungus. RNAcentral's name for it is "sequence contains ITS1". Lineage: Eukaryota; Fungi. The record is from RNAcentral.